UACGUAGGGUGCGAGCGUUGUCCGGAAUUAUUGGGCGUAAAGAGCUCGUAGGCGGUGUGUCACGUCGUUCGUGAAAACCUGCAGCUUAACUGUGGGCGUGCGGUCGAUACGGGCAUCACUGGAGUUCGGCAGGGGAGACUGGAAUUCCUGGUGUAGCGGUGAAAUGCGCAGAUAUCAGGAGGAACACCGGUGGCGAAGGCGGGUCUCUGGGCCGAUACUGACGCUGGAGGAGCGAAAAGCGUGGGGAGCAAACAGG
This 256-nucleotide ribosomal RNA is filed under the name uncultured bacterium. RNAcentral's name for it is "partial 16S ribosomal RNA". It matches the Rfam family "Bacterial small subunit ribosomal RNA", at positions 524 to 776 of the family's 1533-position model. The record is from RNAcentral.